AUAAGGGGUUGUGAACCCACCUGGGGAUGAGGCCUGGUCUUAUGGAAGGUGGACUUAGCUUCGCUGGGCGGACAGCUCUGGCCCAGGGUGUGUUCACCAUGGCAAGCAGAUGGCACCAGGAGAUAUGGAGCCCCUGCCAGUGUGAGUCCGUAGCAGUGCAGGAGGGCUCACCCUGGAGGAGACAGCGGCCUCGGUUGACGCCUACACAGUGAAUUCCAGAGGCUUAGGAAGCGCGUCCCUGCCCUGGGUCCAGGCCUUUCUCAGGAAGCCCUGUGC
Molecule: long non-coding RNA, 276 nt
Filed under: Mus spicilegus (steppe mouse)
Lineage: Eukaryota; Metazoa; Chordata; Mammalia; Rodentia; Muridae
Description: lncRNA (ENSMSIG00000030320.1)
Rfam family: Nuclear enriched abundant transcript 1 conserved region 3 (bases 88-241)
Source: RNAcentral